AACGCACAUUGCGCUCCCCGGUACUCCGGUGAGCAUGCCCGUUUCAGAAUCAGUAACAAUUCUCGCCAAACUCGUGCGGUUCCGGGGGGGAUGCCGAGCGAGGCGGACUUUGGAUGCGCUGUUUCUUCCGGUCUUUUCCGGAGGAGACUCGUCCCAAACGCAUGGGAACUGCGGUGGCCCCGUUUCCUUCUCUGGAGACGGACCCUGCAAAGAUGCAACAAAAACCUCUCUCUGGUUUGGAAACUACUCUUUGCUCGGUUGAAGGUGCUCACUUGUGUGUUCCGACGCGCCCAUCUCGGGCAAUCGAAGGAUCACUCCUUGGGGAAGUCUUUCAAGAACUUGGUCUGAAAUCGGGCAAGAAAACCCGCUGAACUUAA
Molecule: unclassified non-coding RNA, 377 nt
Filed under: uncultured fungus
Lineage: Eukaryota; Fungi
Description: partial contains 5.8S ribosomal RNA, internal transcribed spacer 2, and large subunit ribosomal RNA
Source: RNAcentral